UGGGGAAUAUUGCACAAUGGGCGCAAGCCUGAUGCAGCCAUGCCGCGUGUGUGAAGAAGGCCUUCGGGUUGUAAAGCACUUUCAGCGAGGAGGAAGGGUAGUGUGUUAAUAGCACAUUGCAUUGACGUUACUCGCAGAAGAAGCACCGGCUAACUCCGUGCCAGCAGCCGCGGUAAUACGGAGGGUGCAAGCGUUAAUCGGAAUUACUGGGCGUAAAGCGCACGCAGGCGGUUUGUUAAGUCAGAUGUGAAAUCCCCGCGCUUAACGUGGGAACUGCAUUUGAAACUGGCAAGCUAGAGUCUUGUAGAGGGGGGUAGAAUUCCAGGUGUAUCGGUGAAAUGCGUAGAGAUCUGGAGGAAUACCGGUGGCGAAGGCGGCCCCCUGGACAAAGACUGACGCUCAGGUGCGAAAGCGUGGGGAGCAAACA
Molecule: ribosomal RNA, 427 nt
Filed under: uncultured bacterium
Lineage: Bacteria
Description: partial 16S ribosomal RNA
Rfam family: Bacterial small subunit ribosomal RNA
Source: RNAcentral